Molecule: ribosomal RNA, 319 nt
Filed under: uncultured eukaryote
Lineage: Eukaryota
Description: partial 18S ribosomal RNA
Rfam family: Eukaryotic small subunit ribosomal RNA
Source: RNAcentral
CCCUUAGAUGUUCUGGGCCGCACGCGCGCUACAAUGGUCUUCGCAAACGGAUGCAUUCUCGAAGGAGAAUGCCAAUCUUGGAAUCUAUGCCUUGGUCGGGACAGUUGCUUGCAAUUUUUCGACUCGAACCAGGAAUUCCUUGUAAUCGUGAUUCAUCACAUCACGAUGAAUACGUCCCUGCCCUUUGUACACACCGCCCGUCGCUCCUACCGAUCGAAGAGUUAGGUGAAUUGUUUUGAUCGAUAAGAUUUGACUAUGGUCAACUCUCGUUGUGAAAUUCUGUGAAUCUGACUGUGUAGAGGAAGGAAAAGUCGUAACA